CCUACGGGAGGCAGCAGUGGGGAAUAUUGGACAAUGGGGGAACCCUGAUCCAGCCAUGCCGCGUGUGUGAAGAAGGCCCUCGGGUUGUAAAGCACUUUCAGUGAGGAAGAACGCCUGGUGGUUAAUACCCAUCAGGAAAGACAUCACUCACAGAAGAAGCACAGGCUAACUCCGUGCCAGCAGCCGCGGUAAUACGGAGGGUGCGAGCGUUAAUCGGAAUUACUGGGCGUAAAGCGCGCGUAGGUGGCUUGAUAAGCCGGUUGUGAAAGCCCCGGGCUCAACCUGGGAACGGCAUCCGGAACUGUCAAGCUAGAGUGCAGGAGAGGAAGGUAGAAUUCCCGGUGUAGCGGUGAAAUGCGUAGAGAUCGGGAGGAAUACCAGUGGCGAAGGCGGCCUUCUGGACUGACACUGACACUGAGGUGCGAAAGCGUGGGUAGCAAACAGGAUUAGAUACCCCAGUAGUC
Molecule: ribosomal RNA, 464 nt
Filed under: Vreelandella stevensii
Lineage: Bacteria; Pseudomonadati; Pseudomonadota; Gammaproteobacteria; Oceanospirillales; Halomonadaceae
Description: partial 16S ribosomal RNA
Rfam family: Bacterial small subunit ribosomal RNA
Source: RNAcentral